AUGUAGUAUGAGAGUAAAGAAGGCUAGCACUUCCCUUCAUAGAGAUGUAAGAGUUCCCACUAGCUCUUAAAAUACAAUUAAAAUAGAUUUAGUUAUCACUAUCUACUCUGUGGCAUCUAACCAGCCU
Sarcophilus harrisii (Tasmanian devil) is the source of this 127-nucleotide small nuclear RNA. The record is from Ensembl. Lineage: Eukaryota; Metazoa; Chordata; Mammalia; Dasyuromorphia; Dasyuridae.